Coffea arabica (coffee) is the source of this 2282-nucleotide long non-coding RNA. RefSeq lists it as uncharacterized. The record is from RefSeq and is a predicted model, not a curated record. Lineage: Eukaryota; Viridiplantae; Streptophyta; Magnoliopsida; Gentianales; Rubiaceae.
AAAUUUCGAUAGCUUCUUCAAACAGAAGCGGUGCAGAGGCAGCGGCGGCUUUCUCAAUCCUCAGAGCUUCUCUCUUCUCGGCCUUCAUGUCUCUUGAGUAACCAUGAUGGUUGUGGUCUCAAACUAAAGAAACGAGAAAUGAAGGAUGUUGCAACUAGUGCUUGUCGGACUAUCUUGCAAUCAAGAGCUGUUAUUGUUGGUCGUUUGCAUACGAAUUUCUGGAAAUAUAAUUCGGGCUUUGGUUUUCUGUUAAACGUUUAGGCAAAUGGGCAAAAUGACAAUUUGCGUGAUUUAGUUUUCCUGCCAGUAUGUUUUCAGGCAUGAAAACAGGGAGAAAAUAAACGGCAGCAUAGUGUUUUGUACAGAAUCUCAUGGCCAAAUCUGCUAGUCCUCCAGCGCUUGUUCCAUGUUGCAGGCAUCUUGAAGUUGAACUACAACUCUUUUGGUGUUUGCAAUUGUACUAUGCUAUAAAAAGGUAGUUACGACCAACUAGUUUCUCCUUUGAUCAGCACUAAAAAGGGCUCAAAAAUAGAUGCAAAUUUUCUUUUAAAGAUCAAAAUGGUAUUGAAAUGGAAUUGAAUCUGCAUUUUCACAUUUGCAACAUUAUAGGCAGAGUCAUCAUGAACUUGUAUUGUUAGUGCUGCAGCUUGACUGUGCGUUUAAAAGUUCCUAAAUCAGAGAACAUUUUGGAGGCUUUUGCCAUUUGAAUCUUACGAACUCCCCAAGAAAUAAAUUCUGCAGAAGAUUCAACGUUGUGUAGAAUCAAGAAUGAGGUAAAAUUGCAUUACAAUCUCCAACAAUUGGACCAAUACUUAACUGAGACACUAUAGUACCAAGUUUGAUGUUUGCAUCUUCGUUAGAUGAACAAGUUUUCCGGUUAGCCCAUAACUGUUCCUUGAGCGGCUUCCCCUUUUAUACUCAUGAAAAUUACAUCUAUAAUUGUGGUUAUAUUAUUCAGUGGAGAGAUGCCUUGAUUUGGGUUAUAUUAUUCCUUUCAAUUGCCUUAAUAGUUGAUUUCACUUGACUGAUAGUUAAAUUGAUUAAAUGACACAAAAGUUAUACAUUAGGGCCUAAAGUACAACAUGCGUCCAAUUCUUUUUAUUUUUAUUUUUAUUUUUAUUUUUUCUAUAGUAGGAAAUGGAUGGAAUUUAACAAGUAGGGAGAAAUGGGAUUUAAAACCAAGCCCUUUAAGUAUUGAAACUUCAAUUUUAACCACUUAAUCAAGAGUUCCUCGUCCAAUAUGUGUCCAACUCUUAAGGAACGUACUGUAAUUCCGAAAUGGUUAUAAUUUUAAAAGCUUUUAGCAUUUGCAGAUUUUACACAAGAUCACUGGGCUACCAUAUUGAUCAACUAUAAUAUAUUAGUUUGUAGGGGCAUCAUGCGAUGCAUGAUGUUGGCUAGAUGAAAGCUAUAAAAAAUUUUGCGCAUAUAUAAAUGGAACACAGUAUUCAUAGAUAAGUGAAGCUUGUAAAGCAAUAACAGUGUACUAAUGUACCAAAUUUGAGAGUUAGCAGGAAGUUUUGAAAACUAAAGGCGUGGAGGACAAAUAUAUUGUAGACAUCAAAAUUUUGUUAAUGUUAAUGUAUUUUUAAAUUUUUUCUAUUUAAUGAGUUAUUUAUUUUUUAAUAUUUUAAUACAAAUUUUUCUUAUAUUUGCAAGUUCGUUUUAGGAAAAAGUAAAAAAGUAAAAAAAAUAAAAAAUUAAUUUUUGUAAAAAUAAAGAGAAGUCAUCAUAAGCCACCAUGAGCCUUCAUGAUGACUCAUGAUCGCCACCACCUUUUUUACCAAAGCACACGAGAGAAAGGAGGAGGGCUUCUUAAAUUUUGCUCUGGAGCUCCUCACUCGGGGCUUUUCCCUGGAGCUCUCAACGGACAGAAGAAAAAAAAAAGGAGAAGCAAGAGAAGACGGGGAGCUCUGGCUCCCUCCCUUGGCUUAGGCUGCCAACAGAAAACAGAGAAGAAAAGAAAAAUUUCCAGCUGACUACACUACACAAAACAAGAACAAAACUCCACUCCAGAAGACUCCCUCUCGGCUCUCCUUGUUCUCUCAAGAAAAAAAAUUUUCCUUAGACAACAAGAAGCACUCUUACUCUCACCCUCGGCUCUCCUCUCUCCCAAUAUUUUCCCAACACACUUGCACACAACGAAAAGGAGGCAGCGAUCGAUUGGGCUAUUGGAGCUUGGCAAUUUCAUCAAAAACUUUGGCCAUGAGACCAAACUCUUCAUUGAGGGUUUCUUGGCGAUUAAGGCCAAUCUGAAGUGAAAACUUUUGAAGUUAAGCCGG